UUUCUUUUUUUUUUUUGCAUCCAUGCUGUUGAUUGCUAAAUGUAAUAGUCUGAUCGUGACGCUGAAUAAAUGUCUUUUUUUUUAAUGUGCUGUGUAAAGUUAGUCUACUCUGAAGCCAUCUUGGUAAAUUUCCCCAACAGUGUGAAGUUAGAAUUCCUUCAGGGUGAUGCCAGCUUCUAUUUGGAAUUUAUAUACAACCUGCUUGGGUGGAGAAGCCAUUGUCUUCAGAAACCUUGGUGUAGUUGAACUAAUAGUUACUGUUGUGACCUGAAGUUCACGAUUAAAAGGGAUUACCCAAGCAAAAUCAUGGAAUUAUUGGUUAUAAAGAUGAUUGUUGGCACAUCCUAUGCAAUAUAUCUAAAUUGAAUAAUGGUACCAGAUAAAAAUUAUAGAUGGGAAUGAAGCUUGUGUAUCAUCCAUUAUCAUGUGUAAUCAAUAAACGAUUUAAUUCUCUUGAAUGAAAUGACAACUGUAUGGAUUUGGGACUGGCAGAGAUUUGGACUUUUCCCUACCCACUGCCCCUGAUAAUGUUGAAUGCCUCUAUCGUAAUUCAAGUUCAAAGCUCUGCCAGGGAAUAGAAACUAGCUGCUGGCUAAUGCCGCUCCGUAAAUCCAGAUUUGAAGUGUUUGGGAGGCCUUUUUAAAAUGACCAAUAUCAGAAAUCAUUUCAAUGAACAUAAAGAUAGGCUUACAUUAAAGGAAAACUGCAGUUUGACUGGGUUCUGGUUGGGUGGGCCUUCAGAGGUUUUGUAAGUCAACUAUGCUAAUUUGAAGAUUAAAGCCAUAGCAACAGAAACUAAAUAUUCCUACAUAAUUUAAUGUUAACUGCAGUUUCCCUUUAUAUGGCACAAGAUGACACAACCUUCCUAAAAUGUUAAUUGUAUAGAAAAUGAUUUCUCAACCUUAACAGUUAAUAUCCAAUAAUGUGUUAUUUGUACAUAGAUUAUUUUGAGCCUUCAGUGCUCUCAAAUUUCAGUGCUAUUGUAUCUAGUAGCAUAGAGAUUUGUUUAUCAAUAGGACUGUAUAUUCCAUCCCAUGGGUGUGUUGGAAAUUUUGGGGAGGAGGGUGGAGGGAGGUGGGUGGGAGGUGGUGGUGGGUGGGAAAGCAUGGGUGAUAGUUCCGUGAUACUGGCUGAGUUUGCAAUAGCAGGUGGAACCCUAACUAUUGAGGGAGUUUGCAGAUACCUCAGGAUUCGUGACAAUGCCUUUAAAGAUCCAGGAGAGAUGUUCAGCUACUAGGAACUGCUAGCAAGUAUAGCGCGAAUGGCUCCGAGCUCAGACACUCUACAGCUGAGAGUAGACACUUGUGGUAUGUGGAGUACAGAUAAGCCAGGGGCAGGCCACGGCACGCUCCAUGAAAGCUAGGAGGGAGUGAAAUUUCAGUGAUCAUCGCAAGGAAGGAGGCAGACGAGAGUAAGGCACACCUGACUCUUAGGACUAGCAGUCAGAACCAGGAGGAAAGGUUUUAUUGCUAUGCUGGUAGGUAAGAACAGAUUUUACUUACAUCCAUAUAGUUACUUAAAGUCCAGUUUUCUGUUAAUUUUCCUUAAUAUAUUGAGCCAAAACUAGUCCAGUUAAGCUGAACUAGGUUUUUCUGGAGAUGAAUUGUCUUAAAUUCACACCCUACCAUUGGUGGCUCCCAGUUGAAGGAAGUGAGCACAUUAUUUCUACUGUGAAUAUAAAUUUUUGCCCUUUUAUUUAUCUUCCUUUGACCCAUUUCCUUAAAAUAAUGGCUCAAAGUAAUAGACUCUUCCCCAAAUGGUGGGAGGAUGGGUGGGCUAUUAAUGGGAGGUAUGGGGGGUUUAGCUUGAGCUGGGACUUGGUCUUAGAGCUAGUUCUAAAGGUUGUUUACUUUUCUAGGGGAGGAGUCUGCUACUAGUCUUAUCAGCUCUUAAAAACAGAAACUCAUCUGUCCAAGUUCAUGGCAGAAAGGAACGUCCUUGUGAAGACCUUUAUCUGAGCCACUGUACGUCAGUAUCACUGCCAUGCAGUUAACAUGAGUUGUUCUGCAGCUCAAAUUCCAUUUUGUAAAUGGGUUUUUUUUUUUUUUUUUUUAAAUAAACUAUUUAACUUAA
Saimiri boliviensis boliviensis (Bolivian squirrel monkey) is the source of this 2073-nucleotide non-coding RNA. Lineage: Eukaryota; Metazoa; Chordata; Mammalia; Primates; Cebidae. The record is from RefSeq and is a predicted model, not a curated record.